AGUGAACGCUGGCGGUAGGCCUAACACAUGCAAGUCGAACGACAGCACAGUAAGAGCUUGCUCUUACGGGUGGCGAGUGGCGGACGGGUGAGGAAUACAUCGGAAUCUACUUUUUCGUGGGGGAUAACGUAGGGAAACUUACUCUAAUACCGCAUACGACCUACGGGUGAAAGCAGGGGAUCUUCGGACCUUGCGCGAUUGAAUGAGCCGAUGUCGGAUUAGCUAGUUGGCGGGGUAAAGGCCCACCAAGGCGACGAUCCGUAGCUGGUCUGAGAGGAUGAUCAGCCACACUGGAACUGAGACACGGUCAAGACUCCUACGGGAGGCAGCAGUGGGGAAUAUUGGACAAUGGGCGCAAGCAUGAUCCAGCCAUACCGAGUGGGUGAAGAAGGCCUUCGGGUUGUAAAGCCCUUUUGUUGGGAAAGAAAAGCAGCAGGUUAAUACCCCGCUGUUCUGACGGUACCCAAAGAAUAAGCACCGGCUAACUUCGUG
RNAcentral lists this ribosomal RNA (492 nucleotides) under uncultured bacterium. Its description in RNAcentral is "partial 16S ribosomal RNA". It matches the Rfam family "Bacterial small subunit ribosomal RNA", at positions 29 to 507 of the family's 1533-position model. The record is from RNAcentral.